UACGUAGGGUGCGAGCGUUGUCCGGAAUUAUUAGGCGUAAAGGGCAGGCAGGCGGAUCCAUAAGUUUAUCGUUUAAGGCGUCGGCUUAACCGGCGUAGGGCGGUAGAUACUGUGGAUCUGGAAUGCGGUUGGGGAAGACAGAAUUCCUGGUGUAGCGGUGGAAUGCGCAGAGAUCAGGAGGAAUACCGAAGGCGAAGGCAGUCUUCCAAGCCGUUAUUGACGCUCAACUGCGAAGGUGUGGGUAUCAAACAGGAUUAGAUACCCCGGUAGUCCCUGAG
Molecule: ribosomal RNA, 278 nt
Filed under: uncultured prokaryote
Description: partial 16S ribosomal RNA
Rfam family: Bacterial small subunit ribosomal RNA
Source: RNAcentral